This 67-nucleotide transfer RNA is filed under the name Marmota monax (woodchuck). Its description in RNAcentral is "tRNA.Ser". The record is from RNAcentral. Lineage: Eukaryota; Metazoa; Chordata; Mammalia; Rodentia; Sciuridae.
GGUUGUAGCUCAGUGGUAGAGCACUUGUCUCGAAUGUGUGAGACACUGGGUUUGAUCCUCAGCACCA